GACGAACGCUGGCGGCGUGCUUAACACAUGCAAGUCGAACGCUGAAGGCCCAGCUUGCUGGGUUGGAUGAGUGGCGAACGGGUGAGUAACACGUGAGUAACCUGCCCCCUUCUUUGGGAUAACGGUCGGAAACGGCUGCUAAUACCGGGUAUUCACUGUCCUUCGCAUGGGGGGUGGUGGAAAGGUUUUUUCUGGUGGGGGAUGGGCUCGCGGCCUAUCAGCUUGUUGGUGGGGUGAUGGCUUACCAAGGCUUUGACGGGUAACCGGCCUGAGAGGGUGACCGGUCACAUUGGGACUGAGAUACGGCCCAGACUCCUACGGGAGGCAGCAGUGGGGAAUAUUGCACAAUGGGCGAAAGCCUGAUGCAGCGACGCCGCGUGAGGGAUGACGGCCUUCGGGUUGUAAACCUCUUUCGCUCAUGGUCAAGCCGCAACUGUGGUUGUGGUGAGGGUAGUGGGUAAGGAAGCACCGGCUAACUACGUGCCAGCAGCCGCGGUAAUACGUAGGGUGCGAGCGUUGUCCGGAAUUAUUGGGCGUAAAGGGCUUGUAGGCGGUUUGUCGCGUCUGCCGUGAAAUCCUCUGGCUUAACUGGGGGCGUGCGGUGGGUACGGGCAGGCUUGAGUGCGGUAGGGGAGACUGGAACUCCUGGUGUAGCGGUGGAAUGCGCAGAUAUCAGGAAGAACACCGGUGGCGAAGGCGGGUCUCUGGGCCGUUACUGACGCUGAGGAGCGAAAGCGUGGGGAGCGAACAGG
RNAcentral lists this ribosomal RNA (752 nucleotides) under uncultured Actinomyces sp. RNAcentral's name for it is "bacterial SSU rRNA". It matches the Rfam family "Bacterial small subunit ribosomal RNA", at positions 28 to 776 of the family's 1533-position model. The record is from RNAcentral. Lineage: Bacteria; Bacillati; Actinomycetota; Actinomycetes; Actinomycetales; Actinomycetaceae.